RNAcentral lists this small RNA (346 nucleotides) under Histoplasma capsulatum G186AR. Its description in RNAcentral is "hypothetical RNA". Lineage: Eukaryota; Fungi; Ascomycota; Eurotiomycetes; Onygenales; Ajellomycetaceae. The record is from RNAcentral.
AGAACAGCUAGCAAAAAAUAAAAUAAAAUAAAUGGAAAUAGGGAAAAAAAAAAAAAAAAAAAAGUUAAGAAUGCAUCCCCUUCGUGGGACACACAAAAAAAGGCAAUUCAAAUAAAAAAACCUUUGAACCUUAAUAUAUAUGUAUGUCAUGUUCACAUGCAUGCUUCUUGUUUCUCACUGCCCAUAUCUAUCUAUCGCAAUCUGCCGUCUGAAACACCGUCCCCUCAUACACACGCAACGCUAGUGAAGGAAGGGCAGGAACCCGUCUUGAUCCCUGACAAAGGCUAAAAUACAAAGAAGAACAGAAGGAAAUGAAAUGAAAGAAAAAAGAAAAAGAUAAUAAGCG